CCGCGGGUAGGCGUGCUAUACAUGCAGUCGAGCGGAGUUACUUUGAAAGCUUGCUUUCAAAGUAACUUAGCGGCGGACGGGUGAGUAACACGUAGGCAACCUGCCCCUUAGACUGGGAUAACUACCGGAAACGGUAGCUAAUACCGGAUAAUUUCUUUUUUCUCCUGAAGAAAGAAUGAAAGACGGAGCAAUCUGUCACUGAGGGAUGGGCCUGCGGCGCAUUAGCUAGUUGGUGGGGUAACGGCCCACCAAGGCGACGAUGCGUAGCCGACCUGAGAGGGUGAACGGCCACACUGGGACUGAGACACGGCCCAGACUCCUACGGGAGGCAGCAGUAGGGAAUCUUCCGCAAUGGACGAAAGUCUGACGGAGCAACGCCGCGUGAGUGAUGAAGGUUUUCGGAUCGUAAAGCUCUGUUGCCAGGGAAGAACGUCCGGUAGAGUAACUGCUACCGGAGUGACGGUACCUGAGAAGAAAGCCCCGGCUAACUACGUGCCAGCAGCCGGGGGUAAUACA
Molecule: ribosomal RNA, 516 nt
Filed under: Paenibacillus sp. T9
Lineage: Bacteria; Bacillati; Bacillota; Bacilli; Caryophanales; Paenibacillaceae
Description: bacterial SSU rRNA
Rfam family: Bacterial small subunit ribosomal RNA
Source: RNAcentral